GAUCUAAGAUAGCUUUUAUAGUUUUGGAUGAAGCAGCAGGAUUCCUACUUUAAUUCAGCUCACUCUGAAACCGACAUGGAGAAAGGUUUCUUAGUACAAAGCGCUGAUGAAGAUGUGAUGAUGCUAAUGUUUUGAUCCACUUUGAACGAGCAGAAUUUGACGUUUCUAUGAGCAGGUUUGGCAGGUCAGAGUUCAGUCCAGGGCCUAUUAUAUGCCACAGCCUAAAGACAGCUGGGUUCCAGAGGCUUGAGUGACCACUGACUAUAUGCUUGCAGGGUGGUGGGUCUCCAAGGACAACUUCUAACCCUGUUAAAGGCAACAUGUGGAGUGCAACUUGGCUGUGUGGCAUAGCUGGGUCUGGCCUUUGGACUGUGUGUGUUUAUACAAUUCAUAAGUGGGAAACUGGACUGUUUUAUCUAUUAUCUCUUGAUAUAUUUUUCGUCAAUAAAUUAUCUUUUAGAAUUUUAUUGACUGGUAUCUUUUUGCCCACGACUGAGACGGUUGGUCAGACCUAGAGUCUUUCUUUUGGUGUGUUACAGCAGCUUCUGCUCUAAAAGAAACAAAUAAAUAAAAAGAAAAGAAAAUGUGGAACAUGCUCAUCAGCUUAGCGGUGUCCACACAUUUAAUUCAGC
Astatotilapia calliptera (eastern happy) is the source of this 632-nucleotide long non-coding RNA. The record is from Ensembl. NCBI's taxonomy places the organism in Eukaryota, Metazoa, Chordata, Actinopteri, Cichliformes, Cichlidae.